Molecule: non-coding RNA, 27 nt
Filed under: Rattus norvegicus (Norway rat)
Lineage: Eukaryota; Metazoa; Chordata; Mammalia; Rodentia; Muridae
Source: RNAcentral
UUGGGUGUAUGGCAGGGAUAAGAAACU